GACCGCGAGAAGCACAAAUAGAUAUAAUGUUUGACUAAAACAAUAAUUUCAAACCUUGCUUACAUUUAUAUACGAUUACGUGUCUCUCCAUAAUGCGUGGGAAUACUUGGGAACAGAUUUCUUAAAUGAAAAUAACUUUGGAGCAGAUUUCCUGGUGUUUUUACAAUAUUUUAUGUCCGACAAUCACAAAAAUUUGGGGGGGCCAAAGAAAACCACCCGUGGGUUAAAGAGAACCACCCGUGGGUUACAUCAUGUCCCUGUUGUAAGGCAGGGUUACGUCAUGUCCCUGUUCUAAGGCAGGGUUACGUCAUGUCCCUGUUCUAAGGCAGGGUUACGUCAUGUCCCUGUUGUAAGGCAGGGUUACGUCAUGUCCCUUUUGUAAGGCAGGGUUACGUCAUGUCCCUUUUGUAAGGCAGGGUUACGUCAUGUCCCUGUUGUAAGGCAGGGUUACGUCAUGUCCCUGUUGUAAGGCAGGGUUACGUCAUGUCCCUUUUGUAAGGCAGGGUUACGUCAUGUCCCUGUUGUAAGGCAGGGUUACGUCAUGUCCC
RNAcentral lists this long non-coding RNA (548 nucleotides) under Salmo salar (Atlantic salmon). Its description in RNAcentral is "lncRNA (ENSSSAG00000111651.1)". The record is from RNAcentral. Lineage: Eukaryota; Metazoa; Chordata; Actinopteri; Salmoniformes; Salmonidae.